AGCAGCCGCGGUAAUUCCAGCUCCAAUAGCGUAUAUUAAAGUUGUUGCAGUUAAAAAGCUCGUAGUUGAACCUUAGGCCCGUGCGGGCGGUCCGUCCUCUGGGCGAGCACUGCCUCGUCGCGGGUCUCACCUUCUGGCGAGCGUGGAUGCCAUUCAUUUGGUGUCUGCGGGAACCAGGACCUUUACCUUGAAAAAAUUAGAGUGCUCAAAGCGGGCUCUUACGCUUGAAUACAUUAGCAUGGAAUAAUGAAAUAGGACGACGGUUCUAUUUUGUUGGUUUCCGGGACGGUCGUAAUGAUUAAUAGGGAUAGUUGGGGGCAUUCGUAUCCAAUUGUCAGAGGUGAAAUUCUUGGAUUUAUCGAAGACGGACUACUGCGAAAGCAUUUGCCAAGGAUGUUUUCAUUAAUCAAGAACGAAAGUUGGGGGAUCGAAGACGAUCAGAUACCGUCGUAGUCUCAACCAUAAACUAUGCCGACUGGGAAUCGGGCGAUGUUAUUUUUCGUGACUCGCUCGGCGCCCC
RNAcentral lists this ribosomal RNA (520 nucleotides) under uncultured Paraglomus. RNAcentral describes it as "bacterial SSU rRNA". It matches the Rfam family "Eukaryotic small subunit ribosomal RNA", at positions 569 to 1089 of the family's 1831-position model. Lineage: Eukaryota; Fungi; Glomeromycota; Glomeromycetes; Paraglomerales; Paraglomeraceae. The record is from RNAcentral.